Molecule: long non-coding RNA, 351 nt
Filed under: Salmo salar (Atlantic salmon)
Lineage: Eukaryota; Metazoa; Chordata; Actinopteri; Salmoniformes; Salmonidae
Description: lncRNA (ENSSSAG00000094695.1)
Source: RNAcentral
AGGACACCUCCUACUACGAUGUGGCUCGACACGGGAUCCUCCAGGUAACCAGGACACCCCCUACUACGAUGUGGCUCGACACGGGAUCCUCCAGGUCACAGGUAACCAGGACACCCCCUACUACGAUGUGGCUCGACACGGGAUCCUCCAGGUCACAGGUAAACAGGACACCCCCUACUACGAUGUGGCUCGACACGGGAUCCUCCAGGUCACAGGACACCUCUCACCCCUACUACGAUGUGGCUCGACACGGGAUCCUCCAGGUCACAGGUAACCAGGACACCUCCUACUACGAUGUGGCUCGACACGGGAUCCUCCAGGUAACCAGGACACCUCCUACUACGAUGUGGC